RNAcentral lists this ribosomal RNA (497 nucleotides) under uncultured bacterium. Its description in RNAcentral is "partial 16S ribosomal RNA". It matches the Rfam family "Bacterial small subunit ribosomal RNA", at positions 28 to 507 of the family's 1533-position model. The record is from RNAcentral.
GAUGAACGCUGGCGGCGUGCCUAAUACAUGCAAGUCGAGCGAACAGACGAGGAGCUUGCUCCUCUGACGUUAGCGGCGGACGGGUGAGUAACACGUGGAUAACCUACCUAUAAGACUGGGAUAACUUCGGGAAACCGGAGCUAAUACCGGAUAAUAUAUUGAACCGCAUGGUUCAAUAGUGAAAGACGGUUUUGCUGUCACUUAUAGAUGGAUCCGCGCCGCAUUAGCUAGUUGGUAAGGUAACGGCUUACCAAGGCAACGAUGCGUAGCCGACCUGAGAGGGUGAUCGGCCACACUGGAACUGAGACACGGUCCAGACUCCUACGGGAGGCAGCAGUAGGGAAUCUUCCGCAAUGGGCGAAAGCUUGACGGAGCAACGCCGCGUGAGUGAUGAAGGUCUUCGGAUCGUAAGACUCUGUUAUUAGGGAAGAACAAAUGUGUAAGUAACUAUGCACGUCUUGACGGUACCUAAUCAGAAAGCCACGGCUAACUACGUG